GGGAGAGGGAGAAAAAAAAAAACCAAGCAGACAGUGCAGAAGAUGGCACACUUUAUACAUACACACACACAAAUAUGUAUAUGCAAACGAAUGUAUGUAUAUGUGUUCAUGUGUUUAUGCAUUUGCAUAUAUAUAUAUAUAUAUGUGUGUGUGUGUGUAUGUAUAAAGUGUACCAUCUUCUGCACUGUCUGCUUGGUUUUUUUUUCUCACUCUGCUCU
RNAcentral lists this microRNA precursor (218 nucleotides) under Pelobates cultripes (western spadefoot toad). Lineage: Eukaryota; Metazoa; Chordata; Amphibia; Anura; Pelobatidae. The record is from RNAcentral.